AAGAAAAUUGAAGAUAUCCAAAUUAUUUUUGCAUUAAGUAGACACAAGACAUAAAAAAAUACAUUUUCGCUUAAUAAGGAUAGUAAUUCAAAAUAUUUGGAUAUAUCUACGUUUUGUCCAAUGGACAACAUAGAUUAUAAUGUUGAGUAAUGAGUCCAAAAGGAAACGCCAGAACUGUAAAAAAAAAUAUAACAAAAUAUAAUAAUAAAGUUGAUCGAGCAAAUGAGAGAAAGGUUCCACGGAUAUAGCUUAACGGUUUAAAAUGCCAAGGUAUCACAAAGAAAACGUCAGGAAGAAAUAGAUAUAUUUCUAAGACUAUUUGAAUAAAUUUGUUAGUAAUUUUU
This 344-nucleotide long non-coding RNA is filed under the name Diabrotica virgifera virgifera (western corn rootworm). RNAcentral describes it as "uncharacterized LOC126885005". Lineage: Eukaryota; Metazoa; Arthropoda; Insecta; Coleoptera; Chrysomelidae. The record is from RNAcentral.